GACGAACGCUGGCGGCGUGCUUAACACAUGCAAGUCGAACGGAAAGGCCCUGCUUUUGUGGGGUGCUCGAGUGGCGAACGGGUGAGUAACACGUGAGUAACCUGCCCUUGACUUUGGGAUAACUUCAGGAAACUGGGGCUAAUACCGGAUAGGAGCUCCUGCUGCAUGGUGGGGGUUGGAAAGUUUCGGCGGUCGGGGAUGGACUCGCGGCUUAUCAGCUUGUUGGUGGGGUAGUGGCUUACCAAGGCUUUGACGGGUAGCCGGCCUGAGAGGGUGACCGGCCACAUUGGGACUGAGAUACGGCCCAGACUCCUACGGGAGGCAGCAGUGGGGAAUAUUGCACAAUGGGCGGAAGCCUGAUGCAGCAACGCCGCGUGCGGGAUGACGGCCUUCGGGUUGUAAACCGCUUUCGCCUGUGACGAAGUGUGAGUGACGGUAAUGGGUAAAGAAGCACCGGCUAACUACGUGCCAGCAGCCGCGGUGAUACGUAGGGUGCGAGCGUUGUCCGGAUUUAUUGGGCGUAAAGGGCUCGUAGGUGGUUGAUCGCGUCGGAAGUGUAAUCUUGGGGCUUAACCCUGAGCGUGCUUUCGAUACGGGUUGACUUGAGGAAGGUAGGGGAGAAUGGAAUUCCUGGUGGAGCGGUGGAAUGCGCAGAUAUCAGGAGGAACACCAGUGGCGAAGGCGGUUCUCUGGGCCUUUCCUGACGCUGAGGAGCGAAAGCGUGGGGAGCGAACAGGCUUAGAUACCCUGGUAGUCCACGCUGUAAACGGUGGGUACUAGGUGUGGGGUCCAUUCCACGGGUUUCGUGCCGUAGCUAACGCUUUAAGUACCCCGCCUGGGGAGUACGGCCGCAAGGCUAAAACUCAAAGGAAUUGACGGGGCCCCGCACAAGCGGCGGAGCAUGCGGAUUAAUUCGAUGCAACGCGUAGAACCUUACCUGGGUUUGACAUGGAUCGGGAGUGCUCAGAGAUGGGUGUGCCUCUUUUGGGGUCGGUUCACAGGUGGUGCAUGGCUGUCGUCAGCUCGUGUCGUGAGAUGUUGGGUUAAGUCCCGCAACGAGCGCAACCCUUGUUCACUGUUGCCAGCACGUUAUGGUGGGGACUCAGUGGAGACCGCCGGGGUCAACUCGGAGGAAGGUGGGGAUGACGUCAAGUCAUCAUGCCCCUUAUGUCCAGGGCUUCACGCAUGCUACAAUGGCUGGUACAGAGAGUGGCGAGCCUGUGAGGGUGAGCGAAUCUCGGAAAGCCGGUCUCAGUUCGGAUUGGGGUCUGCAACUCGACCUCAUGAAGUCGGAGCCGCUAGUAAUCGCAGAUCAGCAACGCUGCGGUGAACACGUUCCCGGGGCUUGUACACACCGCCCGUCAAGUCAUGAAAGUUGGUAACACCCGAAGCCGGUGGCCUAACCGUUGUGGGGGAGCCGUCGAAGGUGGGACUGGUGAUUAGGACUAAGUCGUAACAAGGUAGCCGUACCGGAAGG
RNAcentral lists this ribosomal RNA (1477 nucleotides) under uncultured bacterium. RNAcentral's name for it is "16S ribosomal RNA". It matches the Rfam family "Bacterial small subunit ribosomal RNA". The record is from RNAcentral.